This 73-nucleotide transfer RNA is filed under the name Chelonia mydas (Green sea turtle). It matches the Rfam family "tRNA". Rfam says of the family: Transfer RNA (tRNA) molecules are approximately 80 nucleotides in length. Their secondary structure includes four short double-helical elements and three loops (D, anti-codon, and T loops). Further hydrogen bonds mediate the characteristic L-shaped molecular structure. tRNAs have two regions of fundamental functional importance: the anti-codon, which is responsible for specific mRNA codon recognition, and the 3' end, to which the tRNAs corresponding amino acid is attached (by aminoacyl-tRNA synthetases). tRNAs cope with the degeneracy of the genetic code in two manners: having more than one tRNA (with a specific anti-codon) for a particular amino acid; and 'wobble' base-pairing, i.e. permitting non-standard base-pairing at the 3rd anti-codon position. Lineage: Eukaryota; Metazoa; Chordata; Testudines; Cheloniidae. The record is from Rfam by way of RNAcentral.
GUUUCUGUAUUGUAAUGGUUAUCACAUUUGCCUCACAUGCAAAAGGCCCCGGGUUCAAAACUGGGCAGAAACA